GUGGUAGGAGCUGAAUCGUCAGAUUUGUAAUCACAUUUUCGAGUGGGCUGAUGGAAAUGUUGUUUUCGUGGACCAGUGACCACUGUUUGGGAAGCUGUGGCUAGCGAACAAUCGAUGAUAAACAAUCAAAUUUUACUCGGUGUGGCGGUGGUUCGGCUGUGCUGUGACUGUGUAAGAUAUAGUUGGAAAUAGGGAUGGAGAAGAAAGUAAAGCAAGUAUGGAGCAUGGUGGUACAAAUAAAGGAGGGCGGUGUUGAGCAGCUCGACUGAUCAAGCAGGGAAGUAGUGGAUUAAAGGGGUGAUAACAGGAGUUUCUGUGAGUGUUAUAUGUGUUAUGUGAGAGCUUAUGUACCGAAGCCUUUAAGAUGCUAGAGGUUUGGGCAUGUGGCAACAGCCUGUAAAGGGAAAAAGAGGUGUGGAGGGGAGUAUUGGAAGUGUGGCAUGCUGUACAACUAAAGUGCUGCAGCUGUGGGGGUGCUCAUAGUGUGGCAUAUAGUUGGUGUGAGGCUAUGAAGCAGGCAGUGGAGGUGUAACAAGUGAGAGUGGCAAGAAGGGUGUCAUAUGCUGAGGCAGUGAGGGUGGUCCAGGUCCAGGGACAUACAGGUUCAAGGGAGAGAUGGGUAAGGAGCAUCUAGACCAGGGAUUACGGGGCAGGUGGGAGGCGAUAUGUUAUACAUAGAGAAGAGAAUGCUGGUGACGUUCAUAGCAGGAGCUAUCAAUAGCAAAGUAGAGUCUAAAACAGAGAGGAUUCAGCUAAUAGUGAAAGCUGCUGGGACACAUCUGAGUAUGACAGGGUUGACAUGGGAUGAGGUUCGGAUGAUCUCAAUUAGUGGAGUCAUGUAUUACUGGAUCUUAGUUAUGGUGGUAGUGCCACAAUGGAAUGCUUGAAGCCUGUUGACUAAUGGCCAGCAGUUUAUUGUAGAUAUGCCAGCUAAGCCUGAUGUGAUUUGUGUGCAGGAAACAUGGCUCAAACCGAAUGUGGCGUGUAUCAUACAGGGAUAUGUAGUGGUUUGUAGGGACGGAGAUAUUUGGGGAGGAUGUGCCACAUUCAUAAAGCAUGCACUUCCUUACAGGAUGUUAUGGAAAAGGUAUUGAACAGGAAUGUAUGGAGGUGUGGUUGAGGGGGGUGGUAGUGAACUACUAUGAUACGUGUCAGAUAUUGGAUUUAGAAGUGCUGGAGAGGGGGAAGGGCCAGGACAGAAGUAAGGUAAUGUGGUGUGGAGAUUUUAAUGGAAAUGGCCAAGUGAUGGAAAAUCUGAUAGGAAUGAAAGAUCUGGUGUGCCUGAAUGAUGGCAGAGGGACCAGGAUUGAUGUAACCACAGUGAAAGAGUCUGCCUUGGACCUCUCUCUGGUAUCUAGUGCGAUGGCAGGAAUCUGUGAGUGGGAAAUAUUGGAGUCGACGACAGUAGAGAGUGAUCAUUACCCCAUAGUAUGCACAGUAGGGCGGAAGGAGGAGGAGGUGUCAGUGGAUGGAGUAGGCAGGUGGGUGUUUGGAAAGGCAAUGUGGGAUCAGUUUCGAGAGCUGAGUGAGCAGGUGAUGGCUCAGGUGGAUAUGAGAGGGGAUGUGGAUAGUAUGAAUAACUGGGUGAGAACAGCAUCAAUGAGGCAGCUACUGAGGCUAUACCGAAGAGUUCAGGGAGGAGGAGGAAGCAGUCCCAUAGUGGACGGAGGAGUGUGGGGAAAUGGUGAGGAGUAGGAACAGGGCAUUUAGAGUACUGAAAAGGAUGCCUAACUUCCAGUACGUCUGACUCAGUAUAAGCAGGCCCAGGCCCUGGUGAGGAGGGCCGACUCUUUUCUCUGUAUAUAUCAAUGAUGUCGCUAUUGCUGCUGGUGAUUCUCUGAUCCACCUCUACGCAGAGGACACCAUUCUGGGAAAUCACGCACAGAACGAGCAGUUGGUGGCAUUGUCAUGCUGGAGGGUUAUGUCAGGAUGAGCCUGCAGGAAGGGUACCACAUGAGGGAGGAGGAUGUCUUCCCUGUAACGCACAGCAUUGAGAUUGCCUGCAAUGACAACAAGCUCAGUCCAAUGAUGCUGUGACACACCGGCCCAGACCAUGACGGACCCUCCACCUCCAAAUCGAUCCUGAGUACCGGCCUUGAUGUAACGCUUAUUCCUUUGACGAUAAACGCAAAUCUGACCAUCACCCCUGGUGAGACAAAACCGUGACUCGUCAGUGAAGAGCACUUUUUGCCAGUCCUGUCUGGUCCAGCGACAGUGGAUUUAUGCCCGAAUGCAACGUUGUUGCCAGUAAUGUCUGGUGAGGACCUGCCUUACAACAGGCCUACAAGCCCUCUGUCCAGCCUCUCUCAGCCUAUUGCGGACAGUCUGAGCACUGAUGGAGGGAUUGUGCGGUUCCUGGUGUAACUCAGGCCAUUGUUGUUGCCAUCCUGUAUCUGUCACGCAGGUGUGAUGUUCGGAUGUAACGAUCUUGUGCAGUUGUUGUAAAACAUGGUCUGCCACUGCGAGGCCGAUCAGCUGUCCACCCUGUCUCCCUGUAGCACUGUCUUAGUAGUACGGAUAUUGCAAUUUAUUGCCCUGGCCACAUCUGCAGUCAUCAUGCCUCCUUGCAGCAUGCCUAAGGCACUUUCACGCAGAUGAGCAGGGACCCUGGGCAUCUUUCUUUUGGUGUUUUUCAGAGUCAGUAGAAGGGUCUCUUUAGUGCCCUAAGUUUUCAUAACUGUGACCUUAACCUCUCUGCGAUCGUCCGGGACGCUAGCGUCCCACCUCGCCAACAACCAGUGAAAUUGCAGGGCGCCGAAUUCAAAACAACAGAAAUCUCAUAAUUAAAAUUCCUCAACCAUACAAGUAUUUUACACCAUUUUAAAGAUACACUUCUCGUUAAUCCAGCCACAGUGUCAGAUUUCAAAAAGGCUUUCCUAUGAAAGCAGAACAUAUCAUUAUGUUAGGUCAGCAACUAGUCACAGAAAGCAUUCAGCCAUUUUACAACCAAAGAGAGGUGUCACAAAAAGCAGAAAUAUAGAUCAAAUUAAUCACUAACCUUUGACGAUCUCCAUCAGAUGACACUCCUAGGACUCAAUGUUACACAAUACAUGUAUGUUUCGUUCGAUCAAGUUCAUAUUUAUAUCCAAAAACCUCAGUUUACAUUGGCGCCAUGUUCAAAAAUGCCUCCGAAACAUCCAGAGAAAUUGCAGAGGGCCACAUCAAAUAACAGAAAUACUCAUCAUAAACUUUGAUGAAAGAUACAUGUUUUACAUAGAAUUAAUGAUAAACCUGUUCUUUAUGCAACCGCUGUGUCAGAUUUCAAAAAAGCUUUACGGCAAAAGCACAAUAUUCAAUAAUCUGAGAACAGCGUUCAGCCACAAAAGCAAGCCAUAGCCGACAAAUUGUGGAGUCAACAAAAGUCAUAAAUAGCAUUAUAAAUCUUCACUUACCUUUGCUGAUCUUCGUCGGAAUGCACUCCCAGGACUCCCACAAGAAAUGUUUGUUUUGUUAGAUUACGUCCAUAUUUAUGUCCAAAUACCUCCGUUUUGUUCGCGCGUUUAGUUCACUAUUCCAAAGGCACAAUGCGCAAGUGCAAAAUCCAGAUGAAGAGUCAAAAGAGUUCCAUUACAGUUUGAAUAAACAUGUCAAUCGAUGUUUACAAUCAAUCUUUAGGGUCUUUUUUAUAACACAACAAUAGCGUAUUCAUUACAGAGGAAAAAGAAGGAACGGCGCGCCCGCGUGACCACGCAGUAAACAACUGAUUGGCCUCAGCCUAGUCCAUUUGUUGAAACAGCUCUUAUUCGACACCCUUCCACAAAAGAAGCCUCAAACAAUUUUCUAAAGACUGUUGACAUCUGCUGGAAGCCUUGGGAAGUGCAAUCUGUUCCCAUAGACACAGCAUAUUGGAUAGGCAAUCACUUAAAUGAAACUACAAACCUAAGAUUUCCCACUUCCUGGUUGGAUUUGUCUCAGGUUUUCACCUGCCAUAUGAGUUCUGUUAUACUCACAGACAUCAUUCAAACAGUUUUAGAAACUUCAGAGUGUUUUCUAUCCAAUAUUACUAAUAAUAUGCAUAUACAGUGGGGAAAAAAAGUGUUUAGUCAGCCACCAAUUGUGCAAGUUCUCCCACUUAAAAAGAUGAGAGAGACCAGUAAUUUUCACGAUAGGUACACUUAUUAGCAUCUGGGACAGAGUAGCAGGCAGUUUACUCUGGGCACCUUAUUCAUCCAAGCUACUCAAUAAUGCUCCCCUGUCACCAAGAAGUUAAUUGCCUACCGUCUGUAAGCUGUUAUUGUCUUAAUGACCGUUCCACAGGUGCAUGUUCAUUAAUUGUUUAUGGUUCAUUGAACAAGCAUGGGAAACAGUGAUUAAACCCUUUACAAUGAAGAUCUGUGAAGUUAUUUGGAUUUUUACAAAUUAUCUUUGAAAGACAGGGUCCAGAAAAGGAAUGUUUCUUUUUUUGCUGAGUUUAUAUAUUUUUCAAAUGACAAUCACGUUUUUAUUUGGCGUUCCGCCGACGGCAUUGCAAGUACUACCUGCUCUAUACCAUUUUACAGGUACAACGACUUGUGUACUUUACAGAUGGUUUGUUUCAAUGAAAUGCCAAUUAUCCCAAAGUGAGCAGUCUGCACUGCUGGGCAGUGAGAUUGUUUUGGGAGAUAUGUAAGAUGGGAGGGUAUUCGCGCCUUUUAUUUUCUUCUCUCCAUUUGGGCAAUUUUGUUUGCUUCUCUUGUUUCAUCACCACUUUUCACUACACCUCUCUUGUGGGCUGUCUCUCUCUCCUCACACUCACAUUCUCUAUCUCGUUCCCUCUCUCAUAUCCCCCUGUUUCGCUCAGCUCAGGCGUCACAGUUUGCCUUCUAGGACCCUUUUCCUGGAAACGGCCCUAUGGCUGAGGCCACCUCGGGGCAAGAUGGGAAGGAGUAGGGGGAACAGGCAUAUUCCUGCAAAUCACAUGGUACAGGAGGUGCCUUCACUUCUUGUCUUAAAUUAGUUCAGCUUGUGGUCUACGAUGUGGUUGAGAGAUAAAUGGAAGCAUGGAGUACAGUGGGCGAUUACCCUGAUAUGCCAACUACACAUAUGUGUCCAUCCUGCCACAGCUUUGUGUAGUAUUUCUACACCACUGUUUUAGUUAGAUUCGUUAUGUGUAUCAGCCUGCCCCACCCUUGUGAGUUCUGGUGUUCUCUGCUUAUCCUGUCUCCCUCUCUCCAGCCCCCUCAUUCCUGCCAGACCCUGAGGAUCACGUGACCUCUGUAUAGGUUUUCCAUAAAUUCCUCACAUUCAACCAAUGGGCAUCCAGUAUCACAACCUUCGGUUUCCCUGUUACCUCAUUCCUGCCUGCACGUGUGCAUUCUUCAGUCUCUCUCCCUAUAGGUCAAUGUAUAGGCUAAUCUAUAGUUCAAGGCCAAGCAGUACCUCGCACAAUGCACAGCACACUGUAUUGCUGAUCAGGCACAGGUUGUUGGAAGAGUAUGUUGUCAGAGAGUGAGACAUUACAUGUGAAAGUUUAGUCCAUUACAUUAGUCCUCAGAGGCCCUGAUGAAACAACAUAUAGAAAACAUCUUUCAUCCUGGUGUCAACUAUAGACAUGUUGGCCUAUCUAUUAUUCGCUGCAAUGUAUUUUGUUUGUAUAUCACAAUGAAAUUCAUAUAAUUAAUGUAUAGCUCUUAUCUGCAGCCUAUUCACACUGCUGUUUUUUCAUGAGCUUUUUAUCUUAUAAAAAAUCACACUUCCUGUGUUCUUUACUUGCUGUUUGUUUAAACUUUUUCCUGACAUUUCUGUUAUGCAUGUUGUUUUCUGUUUUAAUUUGAUACAUUUAUUUUACAGCUGUGUUUUAUCAGCUGGUGAACACUUUCAAUAUCUUAAUCGCUUAGUACAAUUAGUAAAAAUGUAAAAAAAUCAUACAGACCCAUAUGCAAACAUACCAUAAUUUGCCAAUAUAACAGAUAUUCUACAUUUCUUAAUCCUCCAGACCAGGUAUUUCCAAACUGUGGUACGCGCAAUGCUGUCUAGGGUACGCCAAAUAAAAAUGUGAUUCACUUUUAAAAAAUGUAUUUUUUCUUCACAUUUUCCAACAGUAUAUUUAUAUUUUUCAACAAGUGAGUUUUUUCUCUCACCUGAGUAGCCUCGUUUCACUGCCAAAAUAAAAUACAAUUAUCUAGUGUUCAGCGAAAUAACAACACAAUGUCAAAUAAUUAACCUAGUCAAAUAAUUAACAUCCAAUCACAUUAACCAUUACUCUCUCACGGGAAACCUUCACUCAUAAGCAGACAUUUAUAAACGAAACAUGACCAUUUGAAAAAUAAGCCACAGGGUUUUUUUGAGCGAGAAUAAAGGUGACUUUCGAGUAGUAAGACAUGUAUAAAAGCAACAGAUACCAUUAAGAAGGGGCUAGAAGCGUCUUAUAUGAUGAGCUACCGAGUAGCUAGGACAUGUUAUUAUAUUGGACUUUGAGGUCUUAUUACAUUCAUACAUAAUACCACAAGAGGAUCUGAAGGAAGCUGCUCCUGCGUUGUCUUGGCUGUGUGCUUAAGGUCGUUUUCCUGUUGAAAGGUGAACCUUCGCCCCAGUCUGAGAUCCUGAGCGCUCUGGAGCAGGUUUCAUCAAGAUUCUCUGUACUUUGCUCUGUUCAUCUUUCCCUCGAUCCUGACUCGUCUCCCAAGUCCCUGUCAUUGAAAAACAUCCCCACAGCAUGAUGCUGCCACCACUGUGCUUCACCGUAGGGAUGGUGCCAGGUUUCCUCCAGAUGUGACACUUGGCAUUCAGGCCAAAGAGUUGAAUCUUGGUUUCAUCAGACCAGAGAAUCUUGUUUCUCAUGGUCUGAGAGUCUUUAGGUACCUUUUGGCAAACUCCAAGCGGACUGUCAUUUGCCUUUUACUGAAGACUGGCUUCCGCCUGACCACUCGACCACAAAAACCUGAUUGGUGGAGUGCUUCAGAGACGGUUGUUCUUCUGGAAGAUUCUCUCAUCUCCACAGAGGAACUCUCGAGCUCCCUGACCAAGGCCCUUCUCCCCUGAUUACUCAGUUUGGCUGGGCGGAGAGCUCUAGGAGGAGUCUUGGUGGUUCCAAACUUCUUCCAUUUAAGAAUGGACAUUCAAUGCUGCAGAAAUGUUUUUGGACCCUUCCCCAGAUCUGUGCCUUGACACAAUCCUGCCUUGGAGCUCUAUUGACAAUUCCUUUGACCUCAUGGCUUGGUUUUUGCUCUGACAUGCACUGUCAACCAUGGAACCUUAUAUAGACAGGUGUGUGCAUUUCCAAAUCAUGUCCACGGGUGGACACCAAUCAAGUUGUAGAAACAUCUCAAGGAUGAUCAAUGGAAACAGGAUGUACCUGAGCUCAACUUCUAGUCUCAUAGCAAAGUGUCUAAAUACCUUUGUAAAUAAGGUGUCUGUUUUUUAUUUUAAUACAUUUGCAAAAAUUUCUAACGAUCUGUUUUCCCUUUGUCAUUAUGGGGUAUUGUGUGUAGAUUGAGGAUUUUUAUUUAUUUAAUCCAUUUUAGAAUAAGGCUGUAACAAAACAAAGAAAUGGAAAAAGUCCAGGGGAAUACUUUCUGAAUGCACUUGUAUUUACUUUUUUUUUUAAGUUAUUCAUGUCAAAUUCAAACACUCAUUUAUAAUAAUGUACCUAAUAUUGCAUAAUAAUGUACAUAAUGUUUAUAAUCAGUUUAUUUGCAGAUAUUUUCAAAUAAAGUGUUAUAAUAUGUUA
Molecule: long non-coding RNA, 7648 nt
Organism: Oncorhynchus masou masou (cherry salmon)
Lineage: Eukaryota; Metazoa; Chordata; Actinopteri; Salmoniformes; Salmonidae
Exons: 2
Source: RefSeq, a predicted model, not a curated record